ACGAACGCUGGCGGCGUGCUUAACACAUGCAAGUCGAACGGAAAGGCCUCUUUCGGGGGGUACUCGAGUGGCGAACGGGUGAGUAACACGUGAGUAACCUGCCCUUGACUUUGGGAUAACUUCAGGAAACUGGGGCUAAUACCGGAUAGGAGCUCCUGCUGCAUGGUGGGGGUUGGAAAGUUUCGGCGGUUGGGGAUGGACUCGCGGCUUAUCAGCUUGUUGGUGGGGUAGUGGCUUACCAAGGCUUUGACGGGUAGCCGGCCUGGGAGGGUGACCGGCCACAUUGGGACUGAGAUACGGCCCAGACUCCUACGGGAGGCAGCAGUGGGGAAUAUUGCACAAUGGGUGGAAGCCUGAUGCAGCAACGCCGUGUGCGGGAUGACGGCCUUCGGGUUGUAAACCGCUUUCGCUCAUGACGAAGCUUUGUGUGACGGUAGUGGGUAAAGAAGCACCGGCUAACUACGUG
Molecule: ribosomal RNA, 466 nt
Filed under: uncultured bacterium
Lineage: Bacteria
Description: partial 16S ribosomal RNA
Rfam family: Bacterial small subunit ribosomal RNA
Source: RNAcentral